GGUUCCAUGGUGCAUGUAGUGGUUUAGCACUCUGGACUUUGAAUCCAGCGACCUGGGUUCGAAUCCAGGUGGGACCU
This 77-nucleotide transfer RNA is filed under the name Rhododendron molle. Its description in RNAcentral is "tRNA-Gln". It matches the Rfam family "tRNA". From Rfam's summary of the family: Transfer RNA (tRNA) molecules are approximately 80 nucleotides in length. Their secondary structure includes four short double-helical elements and three loops (D, anti-codon, and T loops). The record is from RNAcentral. Lineage: Eukaryota; Viridiplantae; Streptophyta; Magnoliopsida; Ericales; Ericaceae.